GUCUGACGUAACUGCUACGCUUACCCAGACGGCCUCUCUCUUGGUCUUCGGCGGGUACGUGUCUUCCGGCCAGCUCUCUUCCGCUUCUGCUGUCUUGAUGACGCACAGUGCUGGCGCAAGUCGUCUUGCGCCAGGCGACUGGGUCUGAGGAGGCAGGAGUUAUUCAUUCCCUUAAGCUUUCAGGCCGGGGGGAGAAUCUUUCAGGUGGUAGCUGCAAGAACUCUUAGUAUGUUGACCUCACCUCUGCCUUCCACAUACCACUACCAGUGAGGAAUUAGGAAUGCAUGAGAAGAGUGUCCAAGAAGAGUGUCCUCAUUCAUGCAAGGCUUAAGAGAGAAUGCAGGUCAACAUCACCAUGUCAAUCAGAGGUGCAGAUGCUGAGAGCACUUUCUAGUCAAGUCCUGCAUGUUCAUUUCUGUCUCAAGUCAGCUUCUCUGAGAAUCCAAUUUAUAAAAAUAUAUUUGUGAAUGUAUAAGUAAAGUGACUUGGAUUUUGUCUACGUACAAGGACUUCUAUGCCUGCAUAAAACAGUUUGGAACCAGCAGCAGCAGCAGCUCCCCAGACCUACUGAAUCAGAAUCUACAUUUUGAUAAGAGCCCA
Molecule: long non-coding RNA, 600 nt
Filed under: Homo sapiens (human)
Lineage: Eukaryota; Metazoa; Chordata; Mammalia; Primates; Hominidae
Description: HSALNT0401793
Source: RNAcentral